AAAAAAUGCAAAAAGAAGUAGAGAAGAAUCGAGAAACAUGAGGAAAAAGAGAGAGAAAAGAGGGGAAGAGAAACAAUAACUAGAAUUGCAAAUAAACAGGUAAGGAGCAGCAACAUCGACGUGAAUAAGGUCGAAUUAUGCUUCUCGCUUGGGGUUGAUUCUUGACUGCAACAAGGUAACACCAAAUUGUAGUAGUUCAGGUUUAUGGAUUUUGUUUUCAUCAUUAUAGUUAUUGGUAGCAAUUAGACCUAAGAAGCAGGGCAAGCCCUAAGGAAGAAAGGAAAUGGGUUAAUUUGAUCAUGUGAACAAGAAUUUCAUCACAAAAUAAUUGGAAUUGUACGUGAUGGGCUGUGCAUAAUGAUGCCCAUAUAUAGCUAAAUACAGGUACUAAGGCAAGAGAUGGGUUAGUUCAACAAAGGUGAGUAGGGUUAUUAUGAAUAUAAGUCCACCAUUAAACAUUAGUAAAGGAGUGGAGAAACAACAGGAGAAUAUUUGGUUUAAACUUUGGAGACUUGUUAAGACAUUACUGAUGAAUUCUAUAUGAAAGAAAUUUAAUGGCUUAUUUUCAAUAAAGAAAUGAUAUGGGCAAGAUUAUGGUGAAUUAUAAUUUAAUUUUAUGGUGCUAGGUUGUUUUGCUUCAUUUUCAAAGUUAAACCAAUGCUUCAAAUUGUGAAGUAUUAUAUGGACAGAAAUUUAUAUACAUUGAAUAGAAACAGGAACGAGAAUGAGUUAAAGGAGUUUUGAUUAUGGAUUUGACCAAUUGUUAUUAAUUGGUACCUGCAACAAGAGAGAAAAGAAUGGGACUCUACUUUAAAUUCUUCUUUUACCUUCAAACAAAAAUAAUUAUUUUCAAUUAGAAAGUGACUGCAAUUGGAUAUUUCUUUGGUCCAUUGGCUAGGGGGUUGGAUUAAAUGGUUGCUAAUACGAAGAAAUGUUACAUUUUUUCAGGAAAUAUCGAGGUCAGGACACUUGGUGAUCGAAUUAGUCCUGUGAGUGGAAAAAUAUAAAUAUUUUUAAAGUAUUUAUAAAUUAAGUUUAUUGUUAAAGUAUGUGCAAUUAUAUGCAAUUAUGUGUUCGAAUUUCAUGAUUUUUACGGAAAUAUCUUUUAUUAUGAUACAUGUGGGAUUUCAAAGAUUGUAUAUGUUACAUUGUGAAUUGGAAUAUGAGAUAUGAUUUUGAGAUCGACCAGAAAAGUACCCGUGAUUAUAUAUUUCUUCUAGUUCACUGAGGGGCCUUGGCCGUGUUCUAUACUACACUAAGGGGUCAUGGACUGGGGAUGAAGGGGUCUCGACCGUGUACAUAUAGUUCACUGAGGGACCUUGACCGUGUUCUAGAAUUGAUUAUGAGAGGUCUUUGAGACCGACUUUCGUUCACGGAGGGGCCAAAGGCCCGUGGCGAAAGUUCUUAGCCCGAGGGGCGGAUUACAUAUUUCAGUCAGAGGGUACAUUUUUGGUGGAUUUUUCAGCACGUUUGAUGUGAUGAGAUUGUAGCAUGGUUAUCAACUGGUGUUUAUAUCAUGAUUUUGAGAUGAUAUUUUACGACCUUAUGUGAAUAUUUCACUUUUGGUUAUAAUUACAAGAUGUUAUCUUAUGAAUUAUGAAAUGAUAUGAACUUCAUUUUCGGUAGAAAUGUAAAAUUGAAAAAGUAUAAUUAUUUUUGAACUGCUCCACUCACUGAGUUAUCAACUCAUAUAUUUUCCCACGAUUUUUCCUACAGGUGGAAAUUGGUCAUUUUUAGCUGGAAGAGCCUAAUGAUUUCUGAAUGAGAGCCACACGACAUGUUGAAUAUUAUAACUCAUAUUGAUGAAGCACGGAGCAAAUAUUUUGGGCCCAUCGCAUUGUAUUUUACAUAAGCAUUUGGUUUUAUUGCAUUUUUUUGAAAUAACUCCUAGUUAGCCUUGGUGAUAGAUUUGAUAUCUAGUCAGCUUCUAUCAUCGGCGCACGUUACAUUUCGGGUCUAUUAGGGUGAUUCGGGACGGGUCGUGUCAAAAAUAAAUCAC
RNAcentral lists this long non-coding RNA (1999 nucleotides) under Olea europaea subsp. europaea. Lineage: Eukaryota; Viridiplantae; Streptophyta; Magnoliopsida; Lamiales; Oleaceae. The record is from RNAcentral.